This 504-nucleotide ribosomal RNA is filed under the name Clostridioides difficile. RNAcentral describes it as "bacterial SSU rRNA". It matches the Rfam family "Bacterial small subunit ribosomal RNA", at positions 371 to 894 of the family's 1533-position model. Lineage: Bacteria; Bacillati; Bacillota; Clostridia; Peptostreptococcales; Peptostreptococcaceae. The record is from RNAcentral.
AUGGGCGAAAGCCUGAUGCAGCAACGCCGCGUGAGUGAUGAAGGCCUUCGGGUCGUAAAACUCUGUCCUCAAGGAAGAUAAUGACGGUACUUGAGGAGGAAGCCCCGGCUAACUACGUGCCAGCAGCCGCGGUAAUACGUAGGGGGCUAGCGUUAUCCGGAUUUACUGGGCGUAAAGGGUGCGUAGGCGGUCUUUCAAGUCAGGAGUGAAAGGCUACGGCUCAACCGUAGUAAGCUCUUGAAACUGGGAGACUUGAGUGCAGGAGAGGAGAGUGGAAUUCCUAGUGUAGCGGUGAAAUGCGUAGAUAUUAGGAGGAACACCAGUUGCGAAGGCGGCUCUCUGGACUGUAACUGACGCUGAGGCACGAAAGCGUGGGGAGCAAACAGGAUUAGAUCCCCUGGUAGUCCACGCUGUAAACGAUGAGUACUAGGUGUCGGGGGUUACCCCCUUCGGUGCCGCAGCUAACGCAUUAAGUACUCCGCCUGGGAAGUACGCUCGCAAGAG